AUUGAACGCUGGCGGCAGGCCUAACACAUGCAAGUCGAACGGUAGCACAGAGAGCUUGCUCUCGGGUGACGAGUGGCGGACGGGUGAGUAAUGUCUGGGAAACUGCCCGAUGGAGGGGGAUAACUACUGGAAACGGUAGCUAAUACCGCAUAACGUCGCAAGACCAAAGUGGGGGACCUUCGGGCCUCACACCAUUGGAUGGGCCCAGAUGGGAUUAGCUAGUAGGUGGGGUAAUGGCUCACCUAGGCGACGAUCCCUAGCUGGUCUGAGAGGAUGACCAGCCACACUGGAACUGAGACACGGUCCAGACUCCUACGGGAGGCAGCAGUGGGGAAUAUUGCACAAUGGGCGCAAGCCUGAUGCAGCCAUGCCGCGUGUAUGAAGAAGGCCUUCGGGUUGUAAAGUACUUUCAGCGGGGAGGAAGGCGGUGAAGUUAAUAACUUCACCGAUUGACGUUACCCGCAGAAGAAGCACCGGCUAACUCCGUGCCAGCAGCCGCAGUAA
RNAcentral lists this ribosomal RNA (504 nucleotides) under uncultured bacterium. RNAcentral describes it as "partial 16S ribosomal RNA". It matches the Rfam family "Bacterial small subunit ribosomal RNA", at positions 30 to 523 of the family's 1533-position model. The record is from RNAcentral.